This 303-nucleotide ribosomal RNA is filed under the name uncultured bacterium. RNAcentral describes it as "partial 16S ribosomal RNA". It matches the Rfam family "Bacterial small subunit ribosomal RNA", at positions 507 to 809 of the family's 1533-position model. The record is from RNAcentral.
AGCAGUAGCCACGGGAAUACGAAGGGUGCAAGCGUUACUCGGAAUUACUGGGCGUAAAGCGUGCGUAGGUGGUGGUUUAAGUCCGUUGUGAAAGCCCUGGGCUCAACCUGGGAAUUGCAGUGGAUACUGGGUCACUAGAGUGUGGUAGAGGAUAGUGGAAUUUCCGGUGUAGCAGUGAAAUGCGUAGAGAUCGGAAGGAACAUCUGUGGCGAAGGCGACUAUCUGGGCCAACACUGACACUGAGGCACGAAAGCGUGGGGAGCAAACAGGAUUAGAUACCCGGGUAGUCCCUGUCUCUUAUAA